This 468-nucleotide ribosomal RNA is filed under the name uncultured bacterium. RNAcentral describes it as "partial 16S ribosomal RNA". It matches the Rfam family "Bacterial small subunit ribosomal RNA", at positions 28 to 507 of the family's 1533-position model. The record is from RNAcentral.
GACGAACGCUGGCGGCGUGCUUAACACAUGCAAGUCGAACGGAAAGGCCCUGCUUUUGUGGGGUGCUCGAGUGGCGAACGGGUGAGUAACACGUGAGUAACCUGCCCUUGACUUUGGGAUAACUUCAGGAAACUGGGGCUAAUACCGGAUAGGAGCUCCUGCGGCAUGGUGGGGGUUGGAAAGUUUCGGCGGUUGGGGAUGGACUCGCGGCUUAUCAGCUUGUUGGUGGGGUAGUGGCUUACCAAGGCUUUGACGGGUAGCCGGCCUGAGAGGGUGACCGGCCACAUUGGGACUAAGAUACGGCCCAGACUCCUACGGGAGGCAGCAGUGGGGAAUAUUGCACAGUGGGCGGAAGCCUGAUGCAGCAACGCCGCGUGCGGGAUGACGGCCUGCGGGUUGUAAACCGCUUUCGCCUGUGACGAAGCGUGAGUGACGGUAAUGGGUAAAGGAGCACCGGCUAACUACGUG